RNAcentral lists this ribosomal RNA (1716 nucleotides) under Triticum aestivum (bread wheat). RNAcentral describes it as "partial small subunit ribosomal RNA". The record is from RNAcentral. Lineage: Eukaryota; Viridiplantae; Streptophyta; Magnoliopsida; Poales; Poaceae.
AUGUUUCUGCAGAAGAAUUUGGUAUCUAAGUUUCCUCAAGAGACUAGAUUGCUUACGAUGAUGGCUGAGGAAACCAAAUCAAAGAAGCAAAAAGACGAGGAACACAUUAUAAACGGUCUCCCAGGAGAACUCAUUGAGCGGAUAUUUUUUAAGCUUCCAGUGAGCACUUUGUUGAGGUGCACUGGUGUCUGCAAGGAAUGGCACAAAAUCAUCCGAGAUCCCCAGUUUGUCACCUCUCACCUCCAGGAUGCGCCCCAAUGUGCUUUCCUAUUCUUCCCACAAGAGUCGAUCUCAGGAAAGCUCUAUCCUGCUGAUGCUAUCCUGAUUGAUGAGACCUGGUCACAGUCGACAUGUGCAGUGCCAGUGGUUGGCCCUGGUGAUUCCCUUUGUGGUUCAUGCAACGGGCUUCUUUGCUUAUACACAAAGUCAUCAACACUCAAGAUAGCUAACCUUGCAACGGGUGAAUGCCUGCAUCUUGAUAAACCUGUAAAGAAUUUAAGGGGUGAUUACUUCUUCUUGUAUAACUUUGGAUUUCACCCAGUGACAAAAGAAUACAAGAUUAUACACUUCCUUGGUGAUUCUGUCGAGGGCCGCCCUCUCCAUAAUAAUAGCAGAUUCAGAGUCGUUCAAGUUUACACACUUGGUGAUGACAAAUGGAGAGAUAUUAAAACUCCAGAAGCCCUAAGUUUAAACUGUCUAAAAAACUCUGGAGCAGUUAAUAUUGGUGGAACAAUGUACUGGCUAACUGAAGACAUGGUAGCUAGCUGGCAGCAUGCAGUUAUUACCUUUGAUCUCGGUGAAGAAAGUUUUGCACGGAUACAACUGCCAGCAACUGUACUCGAAGACUCUGCAGGUGAUGGGCCUCGUCGGUACUGGGUUAGAGAGAUUGAUGGGAAGAUAUGUAUAGCAACGGCUCAAACCUGUUCCUUUCAGCCCAGAAGGCUUGUUGGUAAGCUGCAAAUUUGGACACUUGAGAACAAAACGGAGCAAAGGUGGAGCCAGAAGUACAAUAUUCAGUACUCACCUGAUUACAUUCCGGGUCCAAAUUUGGUUCAUAGGGAUAAGACCAUAUUGCAACGCCGUGACCGUAACCUAUAUUCCUAUGAGUUGCUUGGGGACAACUCCAAUACUAAAUUGUGUAAGAUGACAAAGCUGUUAGAUUUCAGGCCCCACAAGCCUGACAACAUGCAAUCCUACAUCUGUGUGAAGUCACUUAUACGCUUAGAUGUAUACAAGAAGGCUGGCAUUGUUCGUAGGCCAAAACAGCGGGGAGUGUGGGAAUUGAAGAAGUGGGAAGCGUGGGAGCACAAGCUCUCUGAGAAUGAAAGAAUAUGGACCGAUACUCAUCGAGACGAGCAUGUGGGAGCUGCACAUGCACAAUGCUAUCGCACGAUGAUCAAUGAUGUGCUGCCACGUAUAUUGGAUGACACAAUUCAACUGGAAAUAGGCAUGAAAAUCAAUCAAAUAUUUCCGAACAUUCCUGAUCAGCAGCCAAGGCCCCUCCGGCGGCUUAAUUGUGUGGCGCAGAAGCAGGAUAGGGAAAAUUUAUUUGUUCGUAUGGAGAAUUGGAAUAAUAUUACGAAGGCUACGAGGGAGGCAAGGCAUAGUAUCUUUAGCAUGAUGGUUAAUGCUGUAUUAAAUCAGAUCGGCGCCUCGAGUUCAGACGCUGGCAUUUCUUCUCAGAAUCGCAGUGAGGGCGAUGAUGUGAAGAUUUGA